This 247-nucleotide ribosomal RNA is filed under the name uncultured bacterium. RNAcentral's name for it is "partial 16S ribosomal RNA". It matches the Rfam family "Bacterial small subunit ribosomal RNA", at positions 111 to 353 of the family's 1533-position model. The record is from RNAcentral.
UAACACGUGGGUAACCUGCCUUAUAGUGGGGGAGUAGCCUUUCGAAAGGAAGAUUAAUACCGCAUAAGAUUGUAGUAUCGCAUGAUAUAGCAAUUAAAGGAGCAAUUCGCUAUAAGAUGGACCCGCGUCGCAUUAGCUAGUUGGUGAGGUAAUGGCUCACCAAGGCGACGAUGCGUAGCCGACCUGAGAGGGUGAACGGCCACAUUGGGACUGAGACACGGCCCAGACUCCUACGGGAGGCAGCAUG